Molecule: small nuclear RNA, 315 nt
Filed under: Meriones unguiculatus (Mongolian gerbil)
Lineage: Eukaryota; Metazoa; Chordata; Mammalia; Rodentia; Muridae
Description: 7SK RNA (ENSMUGG00000007003.1)
Rfam family: 7SK RNA
About the family: 7SK was discovered as an abundant small nuclear RNA in the mid-70s but a possible function has only recently been suggested.
Source: RNAcentral
AGCCAAGCGGGCUAUCUGGCUGUGACAUCUGUAACCCAACUGAUGAACAGCAUCGACUCAGCUGAUAUGGCCAGCUAUGCUGGGGUCUGGUCCUCCCCACUGUUCCAUGUGCAACCUUCUGAAUCUGCUUCAUGCUGGGUCAAAAAGGAUGAUUACCCUGGGAUACAAGAGGACUAGCCUUCAAUCAAGAAUAUAUUAGCAUUUAUGUUUCUCUGGUAUAAGCUCUAAAAUAGCCCCCAAUAUCCAUCAUAAGGCUUUUGAAUGUUCCCACCUUCUACAAUAGAGAAAGAUUUUUGAUUUUUAAAAAAAUUAAUU